RNAcentral lists this ribosomal RNA (481 nucleotides) under uncultured bacterium. Its description in RNAcentral is "bacterial SSU rRNA". It matches the Rfam family "Bacterial small subunit ribosomal RNA", at positions 28 to 507 of the family's 1533-position model. The record is from RNAcentral.
GACGAACGCUGGCGGCGUGCCUAACACAUGCAAGUCGAGCGGAGUCGAUCGACGGAAGCCUUCGGGCGGAAGAUGGUUGACUUAGCGGCGGAUGGGUGAGUAACGCGUGGGCAACCUGCCUCGAAGACCGGGAUAACAGCCCGAAAGGGCUGCUAAUACCGGAUGUGGUCAAGGAUCCGCACGGAUUUUGAUUAAAGGGGAAACCCGUUUCGAGAUGGGCCCGCGUCCUAUCAGCUAGUUGGUGAGGUAAAAGCUCACCAAGGCGACGACGGGUAGCCGGCCUGAGAGGGUGACCGGCCACACUGGAACUGAGACACGGUCCAGACUCCUACGGGGGCAGCAGUGGGGAAUCUUCCACAAUGGGCGAAAGCCUGAUGGAGCGACGCCGCGUGAGCGAAGAAGGCCUUCGGGUUGUAAAGCUCUGUCUGGAGGGACGAAGGAAGUGACGGUACCUCCGGAGGAAGCCACGGCUAACUACGUG